This 24-nucleotide non-coding RNA is filed under the name Rattus norvegicus (Norway rat). The record is from RNAcentral. Lineage: Eukaryota; Metazoa; Chordata; Mammalia; Rodentia; Muridae.
UUCAGUUCUACUGCGCCUUGAGAG